Molecule: transfer RNA, 77 nt
Filed under: Candidatus Saccharimonadota bacterium
Lineage: Bacteria; Candidatus Saccharimonadota
Also listed under: 2 other names
Description: tRNA-Ala
Rfam family: tRNA
About the family: Transfer RNA (tRNA) molecules are approximately 80 nucleotides in length. Their secondary structure includes four short double-helical elements and three loops (D, anti-codon, and T loops).
Source: RNAcentral
GGGGCGUUAGCUCAGCUGAUUAGAGCGCCUGCUUUGCAAGCAGGAGGUCGAGGGUUUGAAUCCCUCACGCUCCACCA